GGUGGCUCCACAGUCGCAGCAGCGCCGUCAGCGUUGACUGCAGCGCAAGCGCAGCGUUUUUAGUAGGCGGCCAGCGAGAGCGCGCAGCAGCAGCAGCAGAAAUAUCGACAGCGGCAGUAAAAGUCGUAUUGGGGGUCUGGGUUGGGUUGGAAUACAGAGUAUCCCAGAAUAUUUGAUAAAGGAUACCAGAAAAAUAAGGAAAAUUUAUCUAAACUCUUUACAUGAAAGGAAAAGGGAUGCUGCCAAAGAAAAACUCAUUGUUUUUAUUCAUUAUCGUAAAGUAGUAUGGGCAUUAAGAUACUCUACCACACACAUAUAUAUACAUGUCUAGAAAAUCUCCAACAAAUUGUACAUACUAUAGCUGUAUGGACAUACUCUUGGAUGGAUACUGGAUCUGGAUAGAAUCACUUAUUUCUUUAUCUUACACAUUACUUCACAAAUACACCCUUCUGUCCCACCAUUACAGGGUAGAAUUAGCUAUGGAAAAUUUAUGAACUGCUUAUCCUGCUCAACUUGAACUUCAACUUCAGAACUUCAACCCCAACCCAAGCCCAGACCUGCUCACAUUUGAUCUGUGUGGCCUGUGCGGAAAGGAGGAGCUGAACCUACACGGACCUUAAAUUGAGUCAUCGCCAGUGCAAUCCACAUCCGUUCAGGCCCAAUCCUACUUGGUAUGCCUGCACCGUUCGCCCGGAGACGUCGUUCGACGUAGUUCGCUCAUAAAUUUUGCAUUUGCUGUGUGAUUUUCCUUUUUAGACGCGACAAGAUUUCACUGAUUUUGUAUAUACGUAUCUACGUAUGCGUCUGCUUAUAAUAUAUCAAUGCAUAAGCAUUCUACAGUCCGCCAUCAAUCACGUAAUUCCCAGCGUGUUUUGUAGCCGUCCAUCUAUAUCUUGGCAUUGUAUCUUCUCACAGCGAACAAAGCCAGUGCCAAACGCAAAAGCCAAAAAGCCAAAACACACGAAAUCUACGUAAUAAACGAUGUUUGAAACAAAAGGCCCAUUAACGACAAAUAUAAAGUACUCAAGUGCACACUUCUGUAGCCGAUCCGAUCUUGUUCAGCUCUCCUCCAGACACCACUUGGCAAAACACUCGUUCAACAUGAUUCACUUAUCAUUGGCUUUGUGAGGGGCAUAAUGAAGUAUUGGGGUUCUUACUACGUACAACAAGUAUUUUGUGAGUUCAAAGUACGAAAUAAAAUACUCUCGUCAUCAUAUGUCGAAAUUCGAUAUGUAAAUUGGUUUCUUCUAGAUCAUUCCAAUCUUAAUUGGGUAGUUCUGGAUGUCAAUCAUACUCCUUUAUUACC
Long non-coding RNA from Drosophila pseudoobscura, 1306 nucleotides. RefSeq lists it as uncharacterized. Lineage: Eukaryota; Metazoa; Arthropoda; Insecta; Diptera; Drosophilidae. The record is from RefSeq and is a predicted model, not a curated record. The transcript is spliced from 3 exons.